AAAUUUCUUUUUUUUUACAAAAAUAUAAAGUAUAUCCAAAGUUAACACUGGCAAGUCGAGUAUAACAAUGUAUCUAACACUGCACAAUCUGCAUAAACCUGCAUACCUGCAUAGGAUAAUUAGCAUUGCAUAUAUAAAUUAACAUGUAAAGCUUAUGCUGGCUUGCUGAUGUUUUCUUUCAUUGUUCUAUUCAAUUAACCCCUAGCCCAAUAUAGCAACAUCUAUUUAAAAUUGACCUGGGACUGGGAUUUUGGGCAGGUAGGGAGGAAUAAGGGAAAUACCUUGGCCUGGGAUUUUAUGGCUUAAAGAAAGGGGAGGGGAAACCCAGUGGCUCUUGUGAAGUGGGGAGAUAAAAGGAUUGGGGAAAUCCAGAGCCUGGUGUAUUUGCGGAGAUAAAAGAGGGAGAAGGUUACAUCCACGGGCUGGUGAACAGGGGGAGAUAAAAGAAUGAAUGGGG
This 457-nucleotide long non-coding RNA is filed under the name Mytilus galloprovincialis (Mediterranean mussel). The record is from RNAcentral. Lineage: Eukaryota; Metazoa; Mollusca; Bivalvia; Mytilida; Mytilidae.